Long non-coding RNA from Mesocricetus auratus (golden hamster), 4187 nucleotides. RefSeq lists it as uncharacterized. The transcript is spliced from 2 exons. The record is from RefSeq and is a predicted model, not a curated record. NCBI's taxonomy places the organism in Eukaryota, Metazoa, Chordata, Mammalia, Rodentia, Cricetidae.
UCCAAUAAAUCCCAUACAUAUAAAUGUGUGUGUGUGUGUGUGUGUGUGUGUGUGUGGUAUGUGCAGAUUCAUUCAGUAAGUUCUGUUACGAUGAGAACCCUGACUAAUACAAUAGGCCUUAUGCACACUCUAUGCUCACAAAGGGGUGAGUUUGAGUAACCCGAAGGACAAUGCCUCAUUCUUAUACACCUAGUGUCUAAUAUCAAGCACCAAACCUCUGUUACUACCCAGGGCGUUUGGCAAGCCCAUUACACUUCCUGACCUUAGUUUGCCUAUCUAUAGAAUAGUGGUGAUGAAAUAUGUUCCACCCACAGAGCUGUGCCAGGGAUCUUGAAGAGACUAUGGACAGCAAAGCCUUCAAUUUCCAGCAGAGAGCUGAGCAGAGUUAGGGCCCAGUGUCCUGCCUGCCUUCUCCAGCAGUUUGAUGCAUCGCAGAGGGAUAAUACUGAACCAAGAGUGGAUAGUGACACUUGUUAAAACUCUUGUGCACCAGACAUCCAUCAGUUAUUACCCAGACCCAAGCACCUGGACAGCCUCAUCUAGGGGAGAUACUCUUGUAGACAAGUGGAUGGUGUUACUGAAGUUUGAUGGCUUUUUUUUUCAAUAACAGAAAGAUGCUACAGUUUUCAGUAACAGAAAGAUGCUGUUUGACAUUUUCAGUAGUAUAUUAUAUCCCAGUUAUUUCCCCACAGGUAGGCAUACAUGGGUGUUGUAUUUCAAAAUGAAGCCAAGGUUUCAACAGGUUUUUGUUUUUUGGUUUUUUUUUUUUUUGGCUAGGGGUGCUGGGAAUUGAACACAACCUGUUUCCCACAACAGUUAAAUAACUACACACUACAUGCCCAGCAAUGUGUGUGUAUGUAUGUAUGUAUACACACAUAUAGAUAUCUAAAGACAGACAGACAGACAGGAUAUUGUUCAUUUGCCCAGGCUGGUUUUGAACUUGAUCUGUUGUUCAUGGCAACUGCCUGCCUCAGCCUCCUGGGAAACUAGGGUAAGAAGCCUGGAUUGCUCACCAUUUUAAUGUUGGUCACUCCCUCUUAUCGGAGUUUGUUUUGAUUUUGUAUGAGUCAUUAUCUGCCCUGUACUGUAAUUAUUUACGGAACUAAAGUCUCAUUGCCCUAAGCACCAUGUGACUUGUUAGAGGGCAGCACCUACGUCUGGUUUAUCUUCCGAGCCUUCUGUGUUUCAUGGUAUUCAUUAUGAUAGGAGAUCCUCAAUAAACACCCAUCAGUGGAGGUCUGAGUUAUUGCUUUUCUGAGCUCUAUCUGUGAUGAAAGAUUUUGACAUUCCUUGAUAAGCCACAACAUCUCCUUGUUCCAAAGAAAAGUAUAUGCUAAUGUUCAAAUCUCCCUGAGUCUUGAAGAUGCUGGAGUAAUGAAAAUUCACACCGACUUGAGUGGCAAUACUUAAAAUAAUGUUGUCCAAGGGAGAGAGGCCCAGGCUCCAAAGAGCAAAGGACAUUAUCUCCUGACAGCCUGAAAGGGGGUUUGGAAAACAGUCUGAAGGAAAUGAGAUAAAGCAGCUUAACCUUUGAUAUUCUGUGUAAACAGAGGCCCAUUCUGUGAGAUGUGGCUCUGCUCUGGACCUGCAAGGGUAGCAGGAAUGCUAUAAGGUGACUCUGUAAAGACCUCAGGCAGAAAACUGCUCAGCUAUACAGAGGGGCUGAAUUUCAUGAUGUCCUUAGAUUUCCCAGAGCCAACUGCAGGCAAAUAAAUCAUUCUAGGUAAGUUCUCCUACUUUUGAAAAUGCCAACAGUAAGUUGGUCGUGAAUGUAUCGUAAUUUUAAAGUGGAAGAUUAAUGGCUUUGCAGAGUUCCUAAAAGAUGUAUGUCAAAUAACUGAAUGUAUGAUAAUAGAACCAUGUAGCUGGGUGGUUCAGAGUUUUAUCGAGGUAUUUUUUAAUGUAACCAACAACAGGGUCCCCUGAAAGUAUUUUCUAAUUUUGGCAGUCAUGUCUUCAUACUGUUUGUGUGACGCUUUGGCUUGCCAACACAUUUCAUUUUGCUUCAGAUACAACCCUAUCACCUGUUACGCAGCCAUCUCAUGAGAACAGAGCCUUGACCCGUCUUGAUGAGAUAUUGAAUCACUGUUAUCCAAGAACUGUCAAGAGCAUCAAAGCCCACUAGAUGGAAGGAGCCCCCCUCUCCCCCUGCAGGGAUGCGAGCACACCACUUCCCCUCAGCACAGCUGAAGCCUAUCGGCCCUCCACGGUGGCUCCACCAAGUCUUCAGCCUGCGGUUUUGAUGCAGACAAUGAGGGCCUGUGCUCAGCAGAGGAAGUUCACUUGUAAAUCAUCACCAGCAGAGGGGUCUGCUGGAAGGAAGCUGCCCAUUGGGUGUUCUGUGUUCCUGGGAAUCACAUAAUUGAGCAAUCAUGAGCUAGUGUUGAAGAUCUGUGAGUCACAGCUUAGGAAGAAGGCACCUGAAAGCAGAGGAUGGCUUUGUGGUUAUUGUUUUUAUGUCUGUUAGCUUCGCUGGUAAGGAAAUAUACUGAAAGCCCUGUGUACCCAAAGAUUGCUGUUAUUUUAUUCAGCGUUUGUGAUAUUGUCAUGUGACUACAAAGAUAUAUCUUGGAAGCUCCUUUCUGUAAAGGGGUUUCUAGCCUUAAAGACGUUAUUGUCUUAUAGAGGCGAUUUUAUGGACAGAAAAAGGAAUGAAGCUGGGAAACUGAUCAAAUAUUUCUGCGUUUUGUGUAAGCUGAAUACUCUAAGGGAAUGCUUCAAACUCUUCUCUGCAAAGUGCUAGAUCAUAAACAGGUCAGGUUUCCCUGGCCAAACUCUGUCUUUACUACUUCUAAGUUUCAUCUGGCAUACAAGCCUCCUUAGACAACAGUAUGCAAAUAAGUGGUUGUGGCAGAGUGCCAAUAAUACACUUCCUUUGUGGAAACAGGUGGUGGACUGUAUUUGGCGUGCAAGCCCAUGGUUUGUCAAUUUCUAAACCAUGAACUAAAGGGGGUGGGAGAAAAACCCUUCAUUUGUCACCGGAGUUUCUUUAAAUAAAAAUGAACUACUAGUCUGUCAAUAGAUGCAGUUACACACUUUUGGCUGUAAUCAAUGGGAAACUGCCAGUCAAAUACUGAGGACAUAUCAACAAAUAAAACUGUCUAUAUAAUUUAUAAAUGCUCAUAUUAUGCAAAUGUCAAAGGUAUUAGCCAUGCUUUAUCAUUUUUAUUUUUAAUUUAAUAUUUAAGUGAAUUUAGUGUUUAUUUUUAAUUGUUGAUUAUGGAUUAUGUUCAUUAUGUAAUAUAUUACAUAACUGUCUCACACACACACAUAUCUUGAAAAUAAUUUCAUUAAUUUGUGGCUAACUUUUGAUUUUAAAUUAAAUUUAUUUUUAGCUAUUUCUUUUCUGAAUUUGCCUUUUUCCUGAUGGGUUUCCUUUGUGGAUUUAAUGCCACGGGUAAGAAGUCACCUCUUGUUUUUCGUAAGCUGGUGUUUUCUUCUAGUGUGUUUUAUGGUUAUGUGUUGGCUUGCUUUUCAAAUGAAGAGGGAAAUCAGUAACGAUGAUGAAAGGGAAACCUGAGUAAUAGGACAUCCAAAGAACAACAGCUUCUGAGGAAAAAGAGAGAGGAACCUAAGAACACAGAUGGCAGGAGGGAGCUUCCUUCCUCUGGAAGGAAAGAGAGAUAAAACCCAACCCACCUGAAGAUGAGCCGACAAUCCUGAAAGUUGCUGCACUGCGACUGACCUCGGCGUCAGUGAGACUCGGCAUCAGUGAGACUCGGCUGUGCACCCGGUAGGAAGGGAGCAGCCAGGGAUGGGGGAGGGGUCCUGGAAGAAACACAGCGGUUUGUCACACCGUGGUCUGUGCCACACGUGGCAUGAAGAUGCUCGGUUACUACAUUCGGGUACAGGCAUUUAUGAAGACGCAGAGUCGCCUUCUAAAGAAUUUAGAUGCUGAUGAUUCCUCUCGAGCAUGUCAGAUCAAAAAAAUCAAUUGGAAUUUCUGAAGGCUUUUUUUUCUUAUGCAGCACAUACAAAUACAUUAUUAUACAAUGAACUAUUACCCGCCCCCCACCCAUAUAUCUGUAUCCUUAGUAGAAGUAUGCUUGUGACCCUGCAAUCAAAAUUCCAUCACAGAUGGGAAAUAAAAUGAAUUCAAGAAAUUUGUCGACAAUGUGGUCUUCUGGUCUACUGUCCUAUCAAAUGCAUGCUAACUUACAAUAAAGCGCAGCUAAACUUUCAGAGAA